GAUAAACGCUGGCGGCGUGCCUAACACAUGCAAGUCGAACGCGCUUCUUUCGGGAAGCGAGUGGCGGACGGGUGAGGAACACGUGGGUGAUCUACCUUUCGGUGAGGAAUACCGGCGAGAAAUCGCCGACAAUACCGCAUACGUUUCGCAAGAAACAAAGUCGUAAGACGCCGAGAGAUGAGCCUGCGUCCGAUUAGCUAGCUGGUGGGGUAAAGGCCUACCAGGGCGACGAUCGGUAGCUGGUCUGAGAGGACGAUCAGCCACACUGGGAUUGAGA
RNAcentral lists this ribosomal RNA (277 nucleotides) under uncultured bacterium. RNAcentral's name for it is "partial 16S ribosomal RNA". It matches the Rfam family "Bacterial small subunit ribosomal RNA", at positions 28 to 324 of the family's 1533-position model. The record is from RNAcentral.